This is a long non-coding RNA of Oncorhynchus tshawytscha (Chinook salmon), 2118 nucleotides long. Lineage: Eukaryota; Metazoa; Chordata; Actinopteri; Salmoniformes; Salmonidae. The record is from Ensembl.
AUGACACUGAGACCGGAGAACAGUAUAGUAAACGCUUGACACCAUAACUGCAUCUCUCACCUUAAAAGCACAGUGUACUAAAAUGAGACCCAUCAGACAAUGUGCACCUAUUUUGAACAUGUCAUUUGGAUUUUAAAUGACAGAUUUUAGUUUCAUCACAAUGCAUGAACAAUGUUCUUCUACAUUGUGAAGAAUGGAAUCCUGUUCUUUUUAAUACACAUUAUAAAAUAAUAUGAUUUAUUUAUUGGUGACCUUUCCUUUGAAUAAUGAAAUAUUUUUUUAAACAUUCAAUAAUUUUGAGUGAGCACUAAAUUUAGCGGACGACUAUUGUAGACUAGCAAAAUUACCAUUGAUACAACUCCUGCUUAUUAUUAAAUCGUCUUACAAGACUUGAGCAACCUCGACUUAAUAACAAGAUAUGAAUUCAUUAUUAAUGAUAAAGAACAUCUUUCCAAAUGUACCGUAGCGAGGGACAGGAAUUGGGAGGAACACAAUUUAUUUAGACAUUUUAAGAUGUUAAGAGGUUUUUACAUUGUUCAGUUACAAGUCCCUAAAAUCUCCAAUUGUUUCCCUGAGAACGUCACAUCUUAGUCAUUUAGCCGAGGCUCAUAUCCAGAGCUGUACAGUCAGUACAUUCAUCUUCAGAUGGCUAGGUGGGACAACCACAUAUCACAGUCAUAGUCAGUACAUUCAUCUUCAGAUAGCUAGGUGGACCAGUCAUAGUCAAUACAUUCAUCUUCAGAUAGCUAGGUGGACCAGUCAUAGUCAGUACAUUCAUCUUCAGAUAGCUAGGUGGGACAAUCACAUAUCACAGUCAUAGUCAGUACAUUCAUCUUCAGAUAGCUAGGUGGGACAACCACAUAUCACAGUCAGAGUCAGUACAUUCAUCUUCAGAUAGCUAGUUGGGACAACCACAUACCACAGUCAUAGUCAGUACGUUCAUCUUCAGAUAGCUAGGUGGGACAACCACCUAUCACAAUUGUAGUAGCUACACAUCUCCUCAAUAAAGUAGUUAUCAGCAAAGACAAAGCUAGUGGUUAACGUCUUUGGGAUAGGGGGCGGUAUUUUGACGUCUGGAUGAAAAGCGUGCCCAAAGUAAACUGCCUGCUACUCAGGCCUAGAAGCUAGGAUAUGCAUAUAUUUGCAUAUAAAGUUUCUAAAACUGUUAAAAUAAUAUCUGUGAGUAUAACAGAACUGAAAUGUCAGGCGAAACCCCGAGGAAUAACCAACUCGAGGACAAACCAACCCCCCCCCCAAAAUAACACUGAUUUCAAUGGCUGGCACUUUUAUAAUAGGGCGAAAUCCUCCCAGAUUGCAGUUCCUAGGGUUUCCACUAGAUGUCAACAGUCUUUAGAAAGAGUUUCAUGCUGUUUUUUUGGAAAAAUGAGCCAGAGAUUGUAGUUUUUCUAGGUGGCUCCCAUUUUGGCUCUAGUGUUUCGAAGCGCGUGAAUGAGAGCGUGUUCUUUGGUAUUUUUCUCCGGGAAAGACAAAAAAGAUUCUCCGUCUUAAAUUGUAUCGGCUAUCACAGUGCCAUCCGUUUUGUCACCAAAGCCCCAUACACAACCCACCAUUGCGACCCGUACGCUCUCGUUAGUUGGCCCUCGCUUCAUACUCGUCGCCAAAUCCACUGGCUACAGGUUAUCUACAAGUCUCUGCUAGGUAAAGCCCUGCUUUAUCUCAGCUCACUGGUCAACAUAGCAGCACCCACUCGUAGCACACGCUCCAGCAGAUAUAUCCCACUGGUCACCUCCAAAGCCAAUUCCUCCUUUGGUCAUCUUUCCUUCCAGUUCUCUGCUGCCCAUGACUGGAAUGAAUUGCAAAAAUCUCUGAAGCUGGAGACUCACAUCUCCCUCACUAGCUUUAAGCACCAGCUGUCAGAGCAGCUUACAGAUCACUGCACCUGUAGAUAGCCCAUCUGUAAACAGCCCAUCUAUCUACCUACCUCAUCCCCAUACUGGUAUUUAUUUAUUUUGCUCCUUUGCACCCCAGUAUCUCUACCUGCACAUUCAUCUUCUGACAAUCUACCAUUCCAGUGUUUAAUUGCUAUAUUGUAAUUACUUCGCCACCAUGGCCUAUUUAUUUCCUUAACUUACCUCAUUUGCACUCACUGUAUAUAGA